Molecule: ribosomal RNA, 263 nt
Filed under: uncultured bacterium
Lineage: Bacteria
Description: partial 16S ribosomal RNA
Rfam family: Bacterial small subunit ribosomal RNA
Source: RNAcentral
GUCCACGCCGUAAACUAUGGAUGCUAGCUGUACACCGUAUCGACCCGGUGUGUAGCGAAGCUAACGCGUUAAGCAUCCCGCCUGUGGAGUACGAGCGCAAGCUUAAACAUAAAGGAAUUGACGGGGACCCACACAAGCGGUGGAGCGUGUUGUUUAAUUCGAUGGUAAGCGAAGAACCUUACCAAGGCUUGAAAUCCUGCGAAGUUCUGCGAAAGCAGAGUGUGCCUUCGGGAACGCAGUGACAGGUGUUGCAUGGCCGUCGU